CCGGAAUAGCUCAGUUGGUAGAGCAGAGGACUGAAAAUCCUCGUGUC
This 47-nucleotide transfer RNA is filed under the name Hypopterygium tamarisci. RNAcentral's name for it is "partial tRNA-Phe". RNAcentral also lists the same sequence under 3 other names. Lineage: Eukaryota; Viridiplantae; Streptophyta; Bryopsida; Hookeriales; Hypopterygiaceae. The record is from RNAcentral.